ACACAUGCAAGUCGAACGGUAACAGGAAGCAGCUUGCUGCUUYGCUGACGAGUGGCGGACGGGUGAGUAAUGUCUGGGAAACUGCCUGAUGGAGGGGGAUAACUACUGGAAACGGUGGCUAAUACCGCAUAACGUCGCAAGACCAAAGAGGGGGACCUUCGGGCCUCUUGCCAUCAGAUGUGCCCAGAUGGGAUUAGCUUGUUGGUGAGGUAACGGCUCACCAAGGCGACGAUCCCUAGCUGGUCUGAGAGGAUGACCAGCCACACUGGAACUGAGACACGGUCCAGACUCCUACGGGAGGCAGCAGUGGGGAAUAUUGCACAAUGGGCGCAAGCCUGAUGCAGCCAUGCCGCGUGUAUGAAGAAGGCCUUCGGGUUGUAAAGUACUUUCAGCGGGGAGGAAGGUGUUGUGGUUAAUAACCRCAGCAAUUGACGUUACCCGCAGAAGAAGCACCGGCUAACUCC
This 464-nucleotide ribosomal RNA is filed under the name Salmonella enterica subsp. enterica serovar Alachua. RNAcentral's name for it is "bacterial SSU rRNA". It matches the Rfam family "Bacterial small subunit ribosomal RNA", at positions 51 to 504 of the family's 1533-position model. Lineage: Bacteria; Pseudomonadati; Pseudomonadota; Gammaproteobacteria; Enterobacterales; Enterobacteriaceae. The record is from RNAcentral.